ACACUGUGGUAUAAGCAACAUCUCAGCAAGUCCUUGCACCUCUCCCACGCAUCAUACAUUCUCUCAUCAUCAAACUGCACAAAAGAAGAAAUAUCAUUUUACAGCUU
This 107-nucleotide small nucleolar RNA is filed under the name Ricinus communis (castor bean). RNAcentral describes it as "Plant small nucleolar RNA R71". It matches the Rfam family "Plant small nucleolar RNA R71". Rfam says of the family: R71 is a member of the C/D box family of snoRNAs containing the C (UGAUGA) and D (CUGA) box motifs. Multiple nearly identical copies of this snoRNA have been identified in Arabidopsis, and it is thought to function as a 2'-O-ribose methylation guide for 18S ribosomal RNA. The record is from Rfam by way of RNAcentral. Lineage: Eukaryota; Viridiplantae; Streptophyta; Magnoliopsida; Malpighiales; Euphorbiaceae.